AUGUUUAUCGCUAUGAAAUCACGUUCAAGAAGUCUCAUUCAGCGCACAUCGCGAUAUUUGCCAUCAGUUUACAUGUGCCACAGGUUGGCUGAAAAAGACAUGAAGGAAGCAGUCAGCCCAGUCGUGUUUGUGGAGAGGUAUUCCUUCAGAAAUGGAGAAGAUAGAAAGCUGCGGAGGCAGACAUUUGCAGCAGAUUGUUUGCAGAUAACGCUGUACUCCAUCAUGCACAAGGACUCACCUCUUUAACUCUUUAUCCCCCACACACACAGAAAUGGUCCCUGGAUCAGUGUUUAGACUUUGCAGUGGUUUGAUUUUUGCAGAAAAUGCAACUUUGUUUUAAUUAUAAGCUUAUAAUGAAUACAUUUUGACCUUCCAGCAGCCCAUAUACUGUAUACAGAACCAGUGAUGAAAACAAUAGUUGAAAAUAGUAUUUUCGUAUUGAUAAAGCAUUGUGUUCUCUUUUUCAAGCUUCAUACAGUAAACUUUACUUCUGGUGCUUUUAUCAUAAAAAAGCAUCAGUUCUCAUCAGGAGUUUUAGUAAAGGACAUAUUCAUGCACAGCCAUCCCCUAGUUCCAGUCAUGAAGCGAAUGAUGUUAUUGUCAGAUUUAUAUUUCUGCAUUUUUAUGUAGCAGGUGUUUGUUUUCCUGAACACUUUAUUUUUCUUCCAUUGUUCGGACAAUCAAUGUUUAUUUGAUGCUGUGCUGAUAGAGUUUUAUAGAUAAUAUUGCACACUUGACAUGCAUGUCUUCAUGGUGUUAUUUUCUGAGUUUGAAACAGUGUGUUGUAUCACUUUUUGGUCAAUUUAACUUUUAAGAAAAAUUGAUUUUUUUCCAGUGUUCUCUGAAAGACUGUAUCUGUAUAUAC
Long non-coding RNA from Cyprinus carpio carpio, 865 nucleotides. NCBI's taxonomy places the organism in Eukaryota, Metazoa, Chordata, Actinopteri, Cypriniformes, Cyprinidae. The record is from Ensembl.